This 857-nucleotide small RNA is filed under the name Pongo abelii (Sumatran orangutan). RNAcentral describes it as "processed transcript". The record is from RNAcentral. Lineage: Eukaryota; Metazoa; Chordata; Mammalia; Primates; Hominidae.
GUUUUCUACAGCCUCUGCUGUCCCCCUGGCCAAAACAGAUACUUGGCCAAAGGACGUGGGCAUCCUGGCCCUGGAGGUCUACUUCCCAGCCCAAUAUGUGGACCAAACUGACCUGGAGAAGUAUAACAAUGUGGAAGCAGGAAAGUAUACAGUGGGCUUGGGCCAGACCCAUAUGGGCUUCUGCUCAGUCCAAGAGGACAUCAACUCCCUGUGCCUGACGGUGGUGCAACGGCUGAUGGAGCGCAUACAGCUCCCAUGGGACUCUGUGGGCAGGCUGGAAGUAGGCACUGAGACCAUCAUUGACAAGUCCAAAGCUGUCAAAACAGUGCUCAUGGAACUCUUCCAGGAUUCAGGCAAUACUGAUAUUGAGGGCAUAGAUACCACCAAUGCCUGCUACGGUGGUACUGCCUCUCUCUUCAAUGCUGCCAACUGGAUGGAGUCCAGUUCCUGGGAUGGUCGUUAUGCCAUGGUGGUCUGUGGAGACAUUGCCGUCUAUCCCAGUGGUAAUGCUCGUCCCACAGGUGGGGCCGGAGCUGUGGCUAUGCUGAUUGGGCCCAAGGCCCCUCUGGCCCUGGAGCGAGCUGGCAGUGAUCGACCCUUCACCCUUGACGAUUUACAGUACAUGAUCUUUCAUACACCCUUUUGCAAGAUGGUCCAGAAGUCUCUGGCUCGCCUGAUGUUCAAUGACUUCGUGUCAGCCAGCAGUGACACACAAACCAGCUUAUAUAAGGGGCUGGAGGCUUUCGGGGGGCUAAAGCUGGAAGACACCUACACCAACAAGGACCUCGAUAAAGCCCUUCUAAAGGCCUCUCAGGACAUGUUCGACAAGAAAACCAAGGCCUCCCUUUACCUCUCCA